This is a long non-coding RNA of Lolium rigidum, 1549 nucleotides long. RefSeq lists it as uncharacterized. NCBI's taxonomy places the organism in Eukaryota, Viridiplantae, Streptophyta, Magnoliopsida, Poales, Poaceae. The transcript is spliced from 3 exons. The record is from RefSeq and is a predicted model, not a curated record.
UAGGUCACUACAGAAAUUUCAGUAAACCCCUCUGAAAUUCAUGCAAUCCGGUCUUGUAGUGAGGUCAUAGUGCUGUCCGUGAUAUGCGUCGCCUCCAUCUUCUUUCCUAGGAGGAGUUCGUCCCGGAGACACGCCUAAGCUGUGGCUUUAAUGGCACGCGGUCUGACAUCUUCGAGACAUCUUCGAGCUAGCAGGAGGUCCUCGUGGAAAUUACCAAUCAAGGAUCAACAGGUGCAGGGUUUUAUCUGUCUGACUAAGAAGCACUAAUGUUUCGUUGGAAAAAAAACAGAAAUUCACCGAUGAAUAUAUUCCAACAAAGCAAGCAUAUAAUGGUAUCUUCAAUACCACAAUAAUCAUAUUAAGGAGCUUCAAUUUAACUCUUACUUUGAAAGCUUCCAGGUAUGUACAUAUUGAUCCCUUUAUAAGUAGAUAUUCCAAGUAUGAUACAUCCUACUGAAUUUUCAUGCUCAUUUUGUUCCCUAAUUUUGCUUGACUCUCAACCUCACCAGCAUAUGCAUUCAUAAAAAGUCACGACAAAUUACAUUACAUUUGAUGGAUAUUAAUUUAGUUCAUGCUAAUCUCUAUUUUCUGGAAUAUAUAUGGAGGCAACUCAUAUUUGCUUGGCUCUCAAUCUCGAAAUUCAUGGAUUAUGUAAUUUUUAAGCAUGAUAUUCUAAAUACCAGAUGUUUACCUGAUUUAUUUAGUGACAAGUUCAAUCUCAGAGAUCUUGGUGCAGAAUAUCAAUUAUUGAUGCUUACUAUUCAUGUAUCAAGCUUUGAGAUUUGGAGGCUCUCAUUUUAACGAGCUUCAUUAGCUACAAUUUUCACAGAAGCUGAACUAUGAUAACUAGAUGAUACCCCGCGCCUUGCUGCGGAACUUAUAUCUUCUAUUUUUUAUGAUGAAAAACUUGAAAACACAACAUACAUUAUUUGAACAGAAAGAGAUACCAAUGAGAUCAAAGAAAGAUCUGAAGCAAUAUUGAUAUUUCCAUAUGAAAUGUUGAAUGAAUACAUGAAUAGAUGAAUUGCAUUAACAUAAAUUCAAUGCUUCCCGGCAGUCAGGCUAACUUGUAAGAGCGCAGAAACAAUUGUAUAGUACAUAAAAGGUACUCUGUUAGCGUAGACAGACUUCAAAAAAGACUACUGAAUUCACUUGCACCCAAAUGAUGAAUCUCUGUGUUAACCAUAUGCUGAAUUAAUGAACAAAAUAGGGUCAGAUGAAACUGGAAAUUGCUUUUAGAUCAUGUGCUCUGGACGCAAGAGAAUUCAAAUGAAGAACAAAAGAUCUGAAAAGUUCACAUGGAAAUAUUAUAAUAUAUACAAUGUUCAACUGUGCAUUGAAAUGUUAACACAUCUUUUGGGGUUUGUCAGACAGAUUGGAGUACUGAUAUUUAUAUUUAGCUAACUCUUCUUUUUCUUGAGCAGCUCAUAGAUGAAUACAUACAAAAAAAAAGACAUUAUUUCUUUUGGUAAGGAAGUGCACUGUACUGGUAGUACUCGGCAUGAUUAUGUAAGAAUGAUAAACAAUAGAAGAGGCCAAAGACACAUCA